Neocloeon triangulifer is the source of this 179-nucleotide long non-coding RNA. RefSeq lists it as uncharacterized. NCBI's taxonomy places the organism in Eukaryota, Metazoa, Arthropoda, Insecta, Ephemeroptera, Baetidae. The record is from RefSeq and is a predicted model, not a curated record. The transcript has 3 exons.
UUUACAAAAUUCGUAAAAUUUAAAGCACAAGUGAUCGCUGUGCAAAGCCGUCAUGAAACCAAUUUUAUAUUCGGCGCUGACAAAAGAGGGUACAUUAUAAGUAACGUCAAGGUGAGUUACAGCAGAGCUGAAAAAGAGUGUUGUGAAAUGGGGUACCAAUUACACGGUUUCCUUUCCAA